Misgurnus anguillicaudatus (oriental weatherfish) is the source of this 345-nucleotide non-coding RNA. The record is from RefSeq and is a predicted model, not a curated record. Lineage: Eukaryota; Metazoa; Chordata; Actinopteri; Cypriniformes; Cobitidae.
UGACAACAGGCAGCCAGCCAACCAUGUGAUCUCUGCUACCGGCAAAAUACAAAACUUCGGCAGGCAUCAUGAAGCGGAUUUAUGCUUCUGGAAGCCAAUAAAGAAAGGAAGAGGAGUAUAAGAAAAAACAAAAUAGUGGUGCUUUGCUUAAAUUUCUCAGCGCGCAGGUUCUUCCUAAAGAUACAUCCACUGAUGAAGCUACACCAUCAACGUCAUCCUCAACAUCAACAGAUGCAUCACUUCUCAGUGCUGAUGUUUCCUCUAUAGCACAAGGCUUUGCGUGCGUGUGGGGGGGCCUCCAUGUCCAUUUUGCUUGGGGCCCCCAAAUUCCUUCAAACGGCCCUG